UACCUCAAAAUUCCGCAACAGUCUGUUUCAUCAGUAAAGAAUCACCGCCUGAUGAUUCUUUACUGAUGAAACAGACUGUUGCGGAAUAU
RNAcentral lists this microRNA precursor (89 nucleotides) under Paramuricea clavata. The record is from RNAcentral. Lineage: Eukaryota; Metazoa; Cnidaria; Anthozoa; Malacalcyonacea; Plexauridae.